This 253-nucleotide ribosomal RNA is filed under the name uncultured bacterium. RNAcentral describes it as "partial 16S ribosomal RNA". It matches the Rfam family "Bacterial small subunit ribosomal RNA", at positions 524 to 776 of the family's 1533-position model. The record is from RNAcentral.
UACGUAGGGGGCAAGCGUUGUCCGGAUUUAUUGGGCGUAAAGCGUGCGCAGGCGGUUGCGUAAGUCAGAUGUGAAAGCCCCGGGCUCAACCUGGGAAUUGCAUUUGAGACUGCGUAGCUAGGGUGCGGAAGAGGGAAGCGGAAUUUCCGGUGUAGCGGUGAAAUGCGUAGAUAUCGGAAGGAACACCAGUGGCGAAAGCGGCUUCCUGGUCCAGAACCGACGUUCAGGCACGAAAGCGUGGGGAGCAAACAGG